This is a long non-coding RNA of Gallus gallus (chicken), 880 nucleotides long. RefSeq lists it as uncharacterized. The transcript has 2 exons. The record is from RefSeq and is a predicted model, not a curated record. Lineage: Eukaryota; Metazoa; Chordata; Aves; Galliformes; Phasianidae.
UCUCAUUUAGCUUCUGCUUCAUCUGCUGGAGCUUCUGUGCUGUGUUAGCUUUCCUAUCCUCUCGCAGUCGUUUUCGGACAGCACUUAAAGAAAAAAAGGAAAAAUAAGAAAAAGCCUUCUUCCAAGGCCUCUGUUGCAUACGCUGGACCUCUGGGUAACUACCUCCUCCAUAUCAUCCUUCAAUGAUCCCUUUUCACAUUUCUCCUGGAUGAUGAUACUGUGAAGAUGCUGGUUUAUACUAUUCAUAAUAGCACCAAAAUGAGGAAGUAAGCUUGUCUUGUACAGUCCUACAAUGUUCAGCAGUUUCUUGUCAUCUCACUCUCUUUCUCCAUGUGUCUACACUGUGCUGUUACCUUUCUUGGCUCCAAAACAUAGAUUAUUAUGUGCAAGAACUGCCUAAAAACAACCAGGGUUAUUGAUGCCAUUGAUAUCUGUUAAUUCAUCUAAGUCCCAUUAGCCUACAGAUCUACUGUAGAUAAGGCAGUUCUUCAUAAAGCAGAAAUUCACUUUGCUUGGAGCAGUACUCUGAAACAAGAUGGAAGGAAAAAAAAUAAAUGAAAAUAAAAAUAAAAUUGGUAUGCUAGGUAUUUGUCCUAAUGAUGACUUCUUUGAAGUCUUUCUUGCAUGAAAAAAGUUUAUGCAUAAGAAAACCUGCAAGUAACAGAAGGUAAAAGGAAGGAAAAGAAUUGUUGCCAAAAAUAAGGACACCGAAUACCUUGGGGGAAAAAAAAAAAGCAGUCACUUUAAAUGUCUGCAAUUAGAAAAAUGAACUGUAAAUUGACUCUUUGCAAAACGAGUGCCAGAUUGUCAUCUGUGGAACAAAUUCGAGACUAACCUAAAAAAAAAAAUACUCCUCAGAAACAGAUGUCAAAACCAUAGC